GACUGCGAGUCGAGCGUUUCUAGCUAUGUUGAGACGCGGCAUACGGCUCAGUAACACGUGGCUAACCUACCCUCAGGACGGGGACAAACCCGGGAAACUGGGGCUAAUAUCCGAUAGGCGAGGAAUCCUGGAAUGGUUCUUCACCCAAAGGACAUUGGAAACAUGCUUUCUCUGUCGCCUGGGGAUGGGGCCGCGACCGAUCAGGUUGUUGGUGAGGUAAUGGCUCACCAAGCCUUUAACCGGUACGGGCCAUGAGAGUGGUAGCCCGGAGAUGGGUACUGAGACAAGGACCCAGGCCCUACGGGGCGCAGCAGUCGCGAAAACUCCGCAAUGCACGAAAGUGUGACGGGGCUACCCCGAGUGCCGUCCGCUGAGGAUGGCUUUUCCUUGGUGUAACUAGCCGGGGGAAUAAGGAGAGGGCAAGACUGGUGUCAGCCGCCGCGGUAAUACCAGCUCUCCGAGUGGUAGGGAUGAUUAUUGGGCUUAAAGCGUCCGUAGCCGGCUUAGCAAGUUUCCUGUUAAAUUCAGCGACCUAAUCGUUGAGCCGCGGGAAAUACUACUAGGCUAGGAGGCGGGAGAGGUCGACGGUACUUCUGGGGUAGGGGUGAAAUCCUAUAAUCCCGGGAGGACCACCAGUGGCGAAGGCUGUCGACUAGAACGCGCUCGACGGUGAGGGACGAAAGCUGGGGGAGCGAACCGGAUUAGAUACCCGGGUAGUCCCAGCUGUAAACGAUGCGGGCUAGGUGUUGGGGUGGCUACGUGCCACUUCAGUGCCGCAGGGAAAGCCAUUAAGCCCGCCGCCUGGGGAGUACGGCCGCAAGGCUGAACUUAA
RNAcentral lists this ribosomal RNA (832 nucleotides) under uncultured crenarchaeote. RNAcentral describes it as "bacterial SSU rRNA". It matches the Rfam family "Archaeal small subunit ribosomal RNA", at positions 48 to 859 of the family's 1478-position model. The record is from RNAcentral. Lineage: Archaea; Thermoproteati; Thermoproteota.